Molecule: non-coding RNA, 76 nt
Organism: Frankia sp.
Lineage: Bacteria; Bacillati; Actinomycetota; Actinomycetes; Frankiales; Frankiaceae
Source: Rfam
GGCGGGGUAGAGGAGUUCGGCCGUCCUCACGGGGCUCAUAAUCCCGGAAUCGUGGGUUCGAAUCCCACCCCCGCUA